AGGUAGUACUAUAAAGCAAAACUACUUUAUAACGGCGGCGACAUUCCUCAUUAAAGGAGCUUUUAAAAUAACAGAAAAUACCCAAUAAUAUUUUACUUAAACUUAAAGCAUAUAUACCGCCGUCUAGAUCUAACAUUAAUGUAUAAUCUAGAAAUACACCCAUAAAAAGUCAGGUCCAGGUAUAACUAAUGUUUAAGCUUUAUGAGCUACAAUAACCACAAUUAUAUUUAAUGAAACUAAAAUAUAGAAUCUAACAGUACAAACCUGAUAAAAAGCCAUAUGAAACAAGAAAAACAAUCGUGC
RNAcentral lists this ribosomal RNA (303 nucleotides) under Theotima sp. MR15. Its description in RNAcentral is "partial 12S ribosomal RNA". The record is from RNAcentral. Lineage: Eukaryota; Metazoa; Arthropoda; Arachnida; Araneae; Ochyroceratidae.